This 1243-nucleotide ribosomal RNA is filed under the name metagenome. RNAcentral describes it as "bacterial LSU rRNA". It matches the Rfam family "Bacterial large subunit ribosomal RNA", at positions 1564 to 2817 of the family's 2925-position model. The record is from RNAcentral.
UGAAUACGAGACGCUAAGGCGUCGAAGUAGUGUAUGUCAUACUUCCAAGAAAAGCUUGCACUGUCAUAGAUAAAAAACGCCUGUACCAUAACCGACACAGGUGGGUAGGUAGAGUAUACUAAGGGGCGCGAGAUAACUCUCUCUAAGGAACUCGGCAAAAUAACUCCGUAACUUCGGGAGAAGGAGUGCCUUAUUCGUAAGGUUGCAAUAACAAGAUCCAAGCAACUGUUUAUCAAAAACACAGGUCUCCGCUAAGUCGUAAGACGAUGUAUGGGGGCUGACGCCUGCCCAGUGCCAGAAGGUUAAAGAAGUUGGUUAGCAAUUGCGAAGCUGAUAACUGAAGCCCUGGUGAACGGCGGCCGUAACAAUAACGGUCCUAAGGUAGCGAAAUUCCUUGUCGGGUAAGUUCCGACCCGCACGAAAGGCGUAAUGAUUUGGAUACUGUCUCGGAGAGGGGCUCGGUGAAAUAGACUUGUCUGUGAAGAUGCGGACUACCUUCACUAGGACAGAAAGACCCUAUGAAGCUUUACUGUAACUUGAAAUUGAAAUUGGACUUUAUUCGCGCAGUAUAGGUGGGAGGCGUUGAUUAUAAUCUUGUGGGAUUAUUGGAGCCAUCAGUGAGAUACCACUCUUGUAAUGUUAGAUUUCUAACUUUGAAUCAUUAUCUGGUCAAAGAACAGUUUCAGGCGGGCAGUUUGACUGGGGCGGUCGCCUCCUAAACGGUAACGGAGGCGUACAAAGGUUUCCUCUGAACGGUUAGAAAUCGUAUCUAGAGUGUAAAGGCAUAAGGAAGCUUGACUGUGAGACCUACAAGUCGAGCAGGGACGAAAGUCGGUCUUAGUGAUCUGACAGUACUGAGUGGAAAGGCCGUCACUCAACGGAUAAAAGUUACUCUAGGAUAACAGGCUGAUCUCCCCCAAGAGUUCACAUCGACGGGGAGGUUUGGCACCUCGAUGUCGGCUCAUCGCAUCCUGGGGCGGUAGUACGUCCCAAGGGUUGGGCUGUUCGCCCAUGAAAGCGGUACGCGAGCUGGGUUCAGAACGUCGUGAGACAGUUCGGUCCAUAUCCGGUGUAGGCGUUAGAAUAUUGAGAGGAGCCUUCUUUAGUACGAGAGGACCGAGAAGGACAUACCUCUGGUGUACCAGUUAUCGUGCCAACGGUAAACGCUGGGUAGCUAUGUAAGGAGUGGAUAACCGCUGAAAGCAUCUAUGUGGGAAGCCCACCUCAAGAUAAGUAUUCUCAU